AAAUAGAUACCCCGGGUAGUCCACGCCGUAAACGAUGAGUGCUAAGUGUUGGGGGGGUUUCCGCCCCUCAGUGCUGCAGCUAACGCAUUAAGCACUCCGCCUGGGGAGUACGGCCGCAAGGCUGAAACUCAAAGGAAUUGACGGGGGCCCGCACAAGCGGUGGAGCAUGUGGUUUAAUUCGAAGCAACGCGAAGAACCUUACCAGGUCUUGACAUCCCGCUGCCCGGUAUAGAGAUAUAUCUUUCCCUUCGGGGACAGCGGUGACAGGUGGUGCAUGGUUGUCGUCAGCUCGUGUCGUGAGAUGUUGGGUUAAGUCCCGCAACGAGCGCAACCCUUGAUCUUAGUUGCCAGCAUUUAGUUGGGCACUCUAAGGUGACUGCCGGUGACAAACCGGAGGAAGGUGGGGAUGACGUCAAAUCAUCAUGCCCCUUAUGACCUGGGCUACACACGUGCUACAAUGGAUGGUACAAAGGGCUGCAAGACCGCGAGGUUUAGCCAAUCCCAUAAAACCCNUUACUCAGUUCGGAUUGCAGGCUGA
Molecule: ribosomal RNA, 538 nt
Filed under: uncultured bacterium
Lineage: Bacteria
Description: bacterial SSU rRNA
Rfam family: Bacterial small subunit ribosomal RNA
Source: RNAcentral